AGGUUCUUUUUCAAAGAGCUCUCGCCGAGCAGCGAACCCUAAUCCUCUCUCUUUUUUCCCCUCCCUCUCUUUCUCUGUAACGAAACCCAAAAAUGUCUCACUUUGGCAGGUCUGGUCCUCCAGAUAUCACCGACACAUACUCUCUUCUCGUUCUCAACAUAACCUUUCGUACGACUGCUGAUGAUCUGUUCCCGCUUUUCGACAAGUAUGGGAAGGUUGUUGACAUCUUUAUCCCCAGAGAUCGAAGGACUGGUGACUCGCGAGGAUUUGCAUUUGUGCGGUAUAAGUAUGCAGAUGAGGCACAGAAGGCAGUUGAUAGGCUAGAUGGAAGAGUUGUUGAUGGGCGUGAAAUAACAGUUCAAUUUGCAAAAUAUGGUCCCAAUGCUGAGAGAAUUCAUAAAGGAAGGAUUAUUGAACCUGUUCCAAGGUCUAGAAACAAGUCCCGAAGUCGAAGUCCUCGAAGAAGGUACCGAGAUGACUAUAAAGACAGGGACUAUAGGAGGAGAAGUCGCAGCAGAAGCUUGGACAGAUAUGAGCGGGACAAGGGUCGUGGUAAGGAUAGAGACCAUCGUCGACGGAGCAGGAGUCGCAGUGCCAGUCCUGAUUACUCUAGAGGUCGAGGCAGAGGCCGUUAUGAUGAUGAACGGCGGAGUAGCAGUAGAUCGGCUGAUAGUGCGUCCCCUAGACGAAGCCCAAGUCCUCGAAGGAGUUCUUCCCCACGCAAGAAUUCUCCUUCAAAGGGUGAAAGCCCUGAUAGGCGCAGCCGUGAUGGUCGUUCUCCAACUCCACGAAGUGCCUCCCCACGGGGCUGGCCUGCUGCUUCUCGUAGUCCAUCCCGUCGAAAUUCAGAUGUUGAUGAAUGAACGAGCAGCUGUAAGGGAAAGAUGUGGAGACAUGAGACUGUUGCAAUUAUUAUAGCCAUGUUACUAAUCUUGAGGACUUACGAGCAUCAUAAGUGUUCUGUUUGUUCCGGAAAGAUUCCUAUGGGGGCAGAUGUCCAGAGUGUUGAUGUUGUGGCUAUUGUGGCUGUUGAUGCUGUUUGUAAAAUGUAGAUGGAUGAUCGUGGUUGUUGAUUACUCAAAAUUAUCUGAUGAUUGUUGCUGUGAUGGUUUAAAAGUUGCACACAAGAUGAACGUGUUUUACCUAUAGCUGAUGCAGCACAUGAAGUGGACCUGUUACUCAGCAGUUCUCUUGCUGAUACUAAAUAUCAAACAUAAUAUGCUGCUCUGAAUUUCACAGCUGAAGUAACUGGUCAUGUGAGUAGCAUACGAGUCCGUGAUUGUAGCUGUGAAGUGGUAGCUGAUACCUGUUCUUUUGUGUGAUAUUCUUGGGUUCGUGAGUAACUUGUGCAAGUACUAAUGAAUAACCACCUGUAGCGGGCUGUUGCUGCCCUUCUUGAUGGGACCGGGUCGUUAUUGAUACUAUCCAUUUUGAUGUUGACGAUGGCUGCCUAGCUGUGUUGCUGGCUUGGGGUCAAUUCCAAAGAUGCUUUGACUUGUAAGAUUGCCUCUUGCCAUGUGCGGUUAACAUGAUUUCAGUUUUGCUGCAUAAGUUGUCCUUAAGUUUUUGCCUUACAAGUUCUUUAUCAUGUCUGUAUGAAACAUUUGUGCUUCACUUACCUUUGAUUUACUUCAGCAUAAACUUGUUUCUACUGCAUGCUUUAUGUUGCUAAUUCUGUGCUUUCUGAGUGGCACUUGAAUGAUAAGAUGCAAAAUGCCUUUUGAAUUAUCAUUUUGUGCAUUGAACUAAGCAAAAGAAUUUUGGGAAAGUAUUGAUUGCAUGAUGAUUAAUGGUUGGUGUUGUCUAUGUGUUCUUUGGAGUUCUGAUGUCCAGUUUUGUCAUUUCAAUUUGCCAUUUUAAGAAAAUUUGUGCGUUUUGAGUGUAUACCUUUUGUUCUCGUUCUCACAUCUUGUGAAAGCUGCUAUCCUAGUUUUCCUUUUCUAAUAAAUAAUAAGUUGUGGGGUGUUGGAAGGUGAUUGAGAAAAUAUCAGUCAACUGACAAUUAUUGGCAAUGCCACAGCUUUUGUAUAGAAAAGUUUGUCACCUGCAGAAGGAAGGAUUGCAUUAGUGUAUGCCUUUCAUCGUUGGUGUGUUGCAUUUUGACAUCAUAUUUUUUUGGAAUAUUGAAACAAUGUCAAAAUAACAUUUGGACAUUAUAUAAUAUCAAAGUGUAAUGACAUGAAGUGUAUGGCUGAUUUUCCUUGGCAGUUGGGAAAUUUAUAAGCUUAUCAUUUAUAAGAAACUCAUUUCAUUUUUGUCGUGUUUUAAUAUGCAUAAGAUGUUCAACCUACAUUGGAUUUUUCUUUUAAUUUUAUUUUGGA
Jatropha curcas is the source of this 2321-nucleotide RNA transcript. It is a transcript of the gene named serine/arginine-rich splicing factor-like protein, putative, with no coding region annotated. Lineage: Eukaryota; Viridiplantae; Streptophyta; Magnoliopsida; Malpighiales; Euphorbiaceae. The record is from RefSeq and is a predicted model, not a curated record.